This 464-nucleotide ribosomal RNA is filed under the name Streptococcus sanguinis. Its description in RNAcentral is "bacterial SSU rRNA". It matches the Rfam family "Bacterial small subunit ribosomal RNA", at positions 28 to 474 of the family's 1533-position model. Lineage: Bacteria; Bacillati; Bacillota; Bacilli; Lactobacillales; Streptococcaceae. The record is from RNAcentral.
GACGAACGCUGGCGGCGUGCCUAAUACAUGCAAGUAGAACGCUGAAGAGAGGAGCUUGCUCUUCUUGGAUGAGUUGCGAACGGGUGAGUAACGCGUAGGUAACCUGCCUGGUAGCGGGGGAUAACUAUUGGAAACGAUAGCUAAUACCGCAUGAUAUUAAUUGUCGCAUGAUAAUUAAUUGAAAGAUGCAAUUGCAUCACUACCAGAUGGACCUGCGUUGUAUUAGCUAGUUGGUGAGGUAACGGCUCACCAAGGCGACGAUACAUAGCCGACCUGAGAGGGUGAUCGGCCACACUGGGACUGAGACACGGCCCAGACUCCUACGGGAGGCAGCAGUAGGGAAUCUUCGGCAAUGGGGGGAACCCUGACCGAGCAACGCCGCGUGAGUGAAGAAGGUUUUCGGAUCGUAAAGCUCUGUUGUAAGAGAAGAACGGGUGUGAGAGUGGAAAGUUCACACUGAGACG